This 501-nucleotide ribosomal RNA is filed under the name uncultured bacterium. RNAcentral describes it as "partial 16S ribosomal RNA". It matches the Rfam family "Bacterial small subunit ribosomal RNA", at positions 30 to 523 of the family's 1533-position model. The record is from RNAcentral.
AUUGAACGCUGGCGGCAGGCUUAACACAUGCAAGUCGAGCGGGGGAAGGUAGCUUGCUACCGGACCUAGCGGCGGACGGGUGAGUAAUGCUUAGGAAUCGGCCUAUUAGUGGGGGACAACAUCUCGAAAGGGAUGCUAAUACCGCAUACGUCCUACGGGAGAAAGCAGGGGAUCUUCGGACCUUGCGCUAAUAGAUGGGCCUAAGUCGGAUUAGCUAGUUGGUGGGGUAAAGGCCUACCAAGGCGACGAUCUGAAGCGGGUCUGAGAGGAUGAUCCGCCACACUGGGACUGAGACACGGCCCAGACUCCUACGGGAGGCAGCAGUGGGGAAUAUUGGACAAUGGGGGGAACCCUGAUCCAGCCAUGCCGCGUGUGUGAAGAAGGCCUUAUGGUUGUAAAGCACUUUAAGCGAGGAGGAGGCUACUCUAGUUAAUACCUAGGGAUAGUGGACGUUACUCGCAGAAUAAGCACCGGCUAACUCUGUGCCAGCAGCCGCGGUAA